This 301-nucleotide ribosomal RNA is filed under the name uncultured bacterium. RNAcentral's name for it is "partial 16S ribosomal RNA". It matches the Rfam family "Bacterial small subunit ribosomal RNA", at positions 509 to 807 of the family's 1533-position model. The record is from RNAcentral.
CAGUCGCCGCGGUAAAACGAAGGGUGCAAGCGUUACUCGGAAUUACUGGGCGUAAAGCGUGCGUAGGUGGUGGUUUAAGUCCGUUGUGAAAGCCCUGGGCUCAACCUGGGAAUUGCAGUGGAUACUGGGUCACUAGAGUGUGGUAGAGGAUAGUGGAAUUUCCGGUGUAGCGGUGAAAUGCGUAGAGAUCGGGAGGAACAUCAGUGGCGAAGGCGGCCAUCUGGGACAACACUGACGCUGAGGCACGAAAGCGUGGGGAGCAAACAGGAUUAGAUACCCGCGUAGUCCCUGUCUCUUAUAC